RNAcentral lists this ribosomal RNA (585 nucleotides) under Mycobacterium sp. F24. RNAcentral's name for it is "bacterial SSU rRNA". It matches the Rfam family "Bacterial small subunit ribosomal RNA", at positions 417 to 1011 of the family's 1533-position model. Lineage: Bacteria; Bacillati; Actinomycetota; Actinomycetes; Mycobacteriales; Mycobacteriaceae. The record is from RNAcentral.
UUCGGGUUGUAAACCUCUUUCAGCACAGACGAAGCGUAAGUGACGGUAUGUGCAGAAGAAGCACCGGCCAACUACGUGCCAGCAGCCGCGGUAAUACGUAGGGUGCGAGCGUUGUCCGGAAUUACUGGGCGUAAAGAGCUCGUAGGUGGUUUGUCGCGUUGUUCGUGAAAACUCACAGCUUAACUGUGGGCGUGCGGGCGAUACGGGCAGACUGGAGUACUGCAGGGGAGACUGGAAUUCCUGGUGUAGCGGUGGAAUGCGCAGAUAUCAGGAGGAACACCGGUGGCGAAGGCGGGUCUCUGGGCAGUAACUGACGCUGAGGAGCGAAAGCGUGGGGAGCGAACAGGAUUAGAUACCCUGGUAGUCCACGCCGUAAACGGUGGGUACUAGGUGUGGGUUUCCUUCCUUGGGAUCCGUGCCGUAGCUAACGCAUUAAGUACCCCGCCUGGGGAGUACGGCCGCAAGGCUAAAACUCAAAGGAAUUGACGGGGGCCCGCACAAGCGGCGGAGCAUGUGGAUUAAUUCGAUGCAACGCGAAGAACCUUACCUGGGUUUGACAUGCACAGGACGCUGGUAGAGAUAUCA